UACGAAGGGGGCUAGCGUUGCUCGGAAUCACUGGGCGUAAAGGGUGCGUAGGCGGGCCUUUAAGUCAGGGGUGAAAUCCUGGAGCUCAACUCCAGAACUGCCUUUGAUACUGAAGAUCUUGAGUUCGGGAGAGGUGAGUGGAACUGCGAGUGUAGAGGUGAAAUUCGUAGAUAUUCGCAAGAACACCAGUGGCGAAGGCGGCUCCCUGGCCCGAUACUGACGCUGAGGCACGAAAGCGUGGGGAGCAAACAGG
Molecule: ribosomal RNA, 253 nt
Filed under: uncultured bacterium
Lineage: Bacteria
Description: partial 16S ribosomal RNA
Rfam family: Bacterial small subunit ribosomal RNA
Source: RNAcentral